CCUGCCCUGCCCCGCCCCCCCGGGACGCUGCCCACCUGUCCUUUGUGCAGGGCGGUACCAUUCGAUCUUGCCAGCUCUCCUUCAGGGAGCGCCCGCUAUGUGCCAGGCGCCGUGCCAAGCCUGAUCUCCCGUAGUCCUCACAGACCCUCCGCGGUCAGUGCCUCUGCUGCUCCCCGCCCAAGGCGCAGCGGGGUGUGGCCAUUUGCCCAGGGUCACGCAGACUUGAACCCCCCAUCCCCGUGCCCAUUUAACAACCAAGAUACUGCGCCUCCCACCGCGUCCACAUCCACAUCUGCUGUGGCUCCGGGGCCUCCUAACCGUCCUGGGAGACAAAACAGUCACACUGGUGGCUGGCGUCGCGGUGCACCUACUGUGUGCCAAGCACUCACGGCCUCGUUUCACUUUCGCAACAGCAACGAGAGAUCUGUUGUCCCAGGGUGAGGAAGCAAAGGCACAGAAGAGCUGAAGCGAUUUGCCCACAGUCACAAGGGCACUGGACUUUAAGGGCCAAGAGUGAAGACCAUUUUGUCCUGUUCUCUGGCACACAGUAGGCACUCGACAACUAUUUCAAAACUAAAGGAAUAAGCAAGUGGCCUCAUGGCUACUGAGGACAGAGUCUGGAACUGAAUGCAGGGCACUCUGAAGCUGGAGCUCACUUCUACAUUAUUGCCUUUCUCAUGCUACUAGCAGGCACUGAAUGUGUCAGUGAGUGAAUGAAUGAAACCAAGAUCUCAGGAUCCCAGUCAAGUGCUCCCUGAGUUUCAUUUCCUGGUAGUGUGGACAUGAGCCAAGCUCCAGCCACCUUGGAUGGUGGUGGGGGUGGCGGGGCUGAUGGGCCGCCUGAAGCCGGCUGUCAGGAGCUCGUCUGGCCACAGCCGCCAGCAGGAGAGACCAGCUGGCGGUGCAGGGUCCAUCGGCCCGGGCCUGGAAUCUGAGCUGCCCUCAGAGGCCCAGCUUCUCUCUGGGCCCCCACAAACUGGCCUUUGUUCCUGGGCCGGCCAAGACCCAGCAGCUUGGGCUUUCUGUCUGCCCGCGGCACCCGCGCUGAGCUGGCGGGGUAAAUGGGCCAGCCUCCCCUCUGUCCAUGCCCAGGACGUCGCUUUAGGACUAAAUGGAGAUGUAAUUUUCUAUACAAAUCCAUGACAAUUUAGAUGGAGUGAUUGUAAUUGGCUUUUCAAUGGGGGUUUUGUCCAGAGCUGGUGGCUAGAACUGGGUGGCCUGUUUGAGGCAGGCUCCAUUUAAAUGACAAUAAAGCAAUAAUAUUGAGGA
Homo sapiens (human) is the source of this 1269-nucleotide long non-coding RNA. RefSeq lists it as uncharacterized. The transcript has 2 exons. The record is from RefSeq and is a predicted model, not a curated record. NCBI's taxonomy places the organism in Eukaryota, Metazoa, Chordata, Mammalia, Primates, Hominidae.